Long non-coding RNA from Daphnia pulicaria, 316 nucleotides. RefSeq lists it as uncharacterized. NCBI's taxonomy places the organism in Eukaryota, Metazoa, Arthropoda, Branchiopoda, Diplostraca, Daphniidae. The transcript has 3 exons. The record is from RefSeq and is a predicted model, not a curated record.
AUCAUCCGGUUGCCGUGAAUCUUGGUGGCCGUGCCGCCUAUUUUUUCUUCAUUUAUUUCCAUCUGCAGCUUCACCAUUCCUCGCGGGAAGAACAGUCCGGCCUCUAAGGCCAGGUGGAAGCUUAGAAGAAAACUAUUCCGCCGAGCCCUUCUCCAACGUCAACACAUAAUUGACAGAGAAGUCGGUUUUCAUGAACGAGCUGAAGAGACCACUCGCAGGAUUGUGGAACAAAGAAGGCAACAAGCUGCCAAAAUGAAUCCUGAAAUUAAUCCUCGUCCAGCUCAAGAUCGUCAGAGUAGAUCCAGAAUUCCGGUUG